Molecule: ribosomal RNA, 468 nt
Filed under: uncultured bacterium
Lineage: Bacteria
Description: partial 16S ribosomal RNA
Rfam family: Bacterial small subunit ribosomal RNA
Source: RNAcentral
GACGAACGCUGGCGGCGGGCUUAACACAUGCAAGUCGAACGGAAAGGCCCUGAUAUUGUGGGGUGCUCGAGUGGCGAAGGGGUGAGUAACAGGAGAGUAACCUGCCCUUGACUUUGGGAUAACUUCAGGAAACUGGGGUUAAUAUCGGAUAGGAGCUCACGUAGGAUGGAGGGGGUUGGAAAGUUUCGGCGGUCGGGGAUGGACUAGCGGCUUAUCAGCUUGUUGGUGGGGUAGUGGCUUACCAAGGCUGUGGCGGGUAGGCGGCCUGGGAGGGUGACCGGCCACAAUGGGACUGAGAUAGGGACCAGUCUCCUACAGGAGGCAGCAGUGGGGAAUAUUGCACAGUGGUCGGAAGUCUGAUGCAGCAACGCCGCGUUCGUGAUGACGGCCUUCGGGUUGUAAACCGCUUUCGCCUGUGACGAAGCGUGAGUGACGGUAAUGAGUAAAGAAGCACCGGCUAACUACGUG